CCCCCCCCCCUUUUUUUCUUUCCCCUUUCCGUGGCCGGAGUCCAAACGAAGAGAAAGAGAGAGAGUUUCAGCACCAAGGAAAGAAAAUAAAAAAGGCGGAAAAAAAAAGAAAAAAAAAGGACGCGGCUGACGCUUUAAAAAAAUAAAAAUAAAAUAAGAGCAGGUAGGUCGCUAGAUCGUCUUUUUAAAAGGAGGGGAAAGCUCGAGGGACUCUCCUUCCCCAAGUUCUGCAAAGGGGAGAAAGAAAGAUAAAGAAAAUAAUAAUAAUAACAACCCCUCGACUCCCCAGCUUCAACGACAAGAUGAAAAAAUAUUUUAAAAGAGAUGAACCGGGAGGACAGUUUAAAAGCAUUGCUGAGUUUUAUAGCGUGCCUGACGUCACACUCCUGUCGGGAUUCGACUCCAAUCCGCGGCCGCGAAUCCGGCUCCUCAUUAGCAUAAUAGUAUAGAAACAAGGAAACUUUUCAAAGCUGUCAAUCAGGAGCCAAUCAGCUGACUGUCAGCUGGGACCAAAACUUUUUAACUCUUUCUUAACCGAAAGCGCCGUCUCGGACUCAUUAGGAAGGGAAGGGGGGAAAAAAAAGAGAGAGAGAUGGGGGGAAAGGGGGGGGAGAGAAAAGAGAAGAGAGAGAGAUCCCGAAAGCCAUUAAACCGGCAAAAUACUCCGCUAGUAUUCUCAAUUGUCCCGAAAGAAAAUGCGAUAACUAAUAGAGCCUUAAAAUUUCAUCAAGCAACUGAAUGGAUACCAACUAAAGGAUUUACCAGCCAAAGAUUCCAUUUUAGCACAUUGUUUUCUUUCCUAUUAGGACUAAAUAUAAGGAACAUAACAUGAACAGAUCCAACUGGAAUGAUUCACAGGCUUUUAUCUUCCUGGUCACCUGUUUGGGGAACAAUGGAACGAUCCGGAGAUCAUCGUCUUCAUGAGCUUCGGAUGGGAAGUGGCAGCUUUGCAGUCAAUAGCACUUCCUCCCAGGUGGAAGAGUUCUGGAAUUGUUUUCAUGACUGCAUCCACGAGGUUGGCUGGUUCCCUGCGGAAAUGUGUGUGAGUAACAUAUAAAGGUGGGCCAGCAGAAGACUACCGAGAACUUGACCCAAGUCCAUGCAUGAAAGGAGGCUCUGCUGUGCGGGCCAGAGAUUAUGUCAUGUGCUUUUGUCAUGGCAUCAUUUUUGGGCCGAGGAUGGGUCUGCAGAACUUUUUUAUUUUAAUUGGGCAAUUUAACUGGAAGCCUAAAGUGAUUUUUGUCCUUCGUUUCUCAUAGGAAAUUGUGCUUCUGAUGUCUGGCCAUUUGCUACUGAAUUCUGAUGGUACAUUUGUAGGGAUCUACAGUGAGCCUCUCAAAGCAGCUUAAACCAUUCUAGAAUGCCCAACCUGAUUUAGAAGACAGUUAGAAAUCUCUCUCUGUGUAUUUUUUAAUUCCAGCAGUUGUUAAAAUCCACACAUCAAGAAGAAACUGAGGCAGGAAGAGAAGCAGACUGCCCAAACCUUGCUAAAAGCAUCUUGAAGUAAAGAAAUCCCUUAGGGAGUAUGACAGGAGGGUAACGUACAAGUAUAGAAAAUAUAUUUUGGGUUCCACAUUUGUCUGACUAUCUCUCUUGUGCAUAGAGUUAAAUGGAUUUAAGAACAAAUCUUGCUGUUGCUGAAGUACCCACUUUAUUCCUAAAAAACUCUGAGCCAAUACUCUGGUUGGAUCUAUCACCUUUGACUUUUGAAUUGCUGCCUCCAACAUGCCACACAAAGCCUCCACGCCAGCAGAAAUAAUUCCCCUCUGCCUUACAGAGGAUGUCCUCAACUUACAACCACAAUUGGAACCCAAAUUUUCAUCGCUAAGCCAGGCGGUUGUUGGAGGUUGGAGUCAUCUCCAAUUUUGUGACCCUUUUUUGCCACAGUUAAAUGGUUCACAGCAACUGAUUCAUGCAGUCAUUAAGUGAAUCCAUCUUCCCCAAUUGAUUUCACUUAUGGGAAGAUUGCCAAGGGCAAUUAUAUGACCCUAGGAAGCUGCAACUGUUGUAAAUUCAUAUUGGUUGCCAAGCACCCAAAUUUUGUUCAUGUAACCAUGGGGUAUUCUCCAAUGGUCGUAAAUGCAAGGACUGGCUAUAAGUCACUUUUUUUCAAUGUUGUUGUAUCUUCAGAUGGUUGCUAAAUAAAUGGUUGCAAGUUGAGGGCCA
Molecule: long non-coding RNA, 2166 nt
Filed under: Notechis scutatus (mainland tiger snake)
Lineage: Eukaryota; Metazoa; Chordata; Lepidosauria; Squamata; Elapidae
Description: lncRNA (ENSNSUG00000010405.1)
Source: RNAcentral